ACCCCUUCAGUUUCUG
Molecule: transfer RNA, 16 nt
Filed under: Odorrana hosii (Mount Dulit frog)
Lineage: Eukaryota; Metazoa; Chordata; Amphibia; Anura; Ranidae
Description: partial tRNA-Trp
Source: RNAcentral